CAGCAGCCGCGGUAAUACGUAGGGGGCGAGCGUUGUCCGGAAUGAUUGGGCGUAAAGGGCGCGUAGGCGGCUCGGUAAGUCUGAAGUGAAAGUCCUGCUUUUAAGGUGGGAAUUGCUUUGGAUACUGUCGGGCUAGAGUGCAGGAGAGGUAAGUGGAAUUCCCAGUGUAGCGGUGAAAUGCGUAGAGAUUGGGAGGAACACCAGUGGCGAAGGCGACUUACUGGACUGUAACUGACGCUGAGGCGCUAAAGUGUGGGGAGCAAACAGGAUUAGAUACCCUGGUAGUCCACACUGUAAACGAUGAAUGCUAGGUGUAGGGGGUAUCGACCCCUUCUGUGCCGCAGUUAACACAAUAAGCAUUCCGCCUGGGGAGUACGGCCGCAAGGUUGAAACUCAAAUAAA
This 402-nucleotide ribosomal RNA is filed under the name uncultured rumen bacterium. RNAcentral describes it as "bacterial SSU rRNA". It matches the Rfam family "Bacterial small subunit ribosomal RNA", at positions 509 to 909 of the family's 1533-position model. The record is from RNAcentral.